This 883-nucleotide ribosomal RNA is filed under the name uncultured bacterium. Its description in RNAcentral is "bacterial SSU rRNA". It matches the Rfam family "Bacterial small subunit ribosomal RNA", at positions 8 to 878 of the family's 1533-position model. The record is from RNAcentral.
AGAGUUUGAUCCUGGCUCAGAUUGAACGCUAGCGGGAUGCUUUACACAUGCAAGUCGAACGGCAGCACGAGAGAGCUUGCUCUCUUGGUGGCGAGUGGCGGACGGGUGAGUAAUAUAUCGGAACGUGCCCAGUAGCGGGGGAUAACUACUCGAAAGAGUGGCUAAUACCGCAUACGCCCUACGGGGGAAAGGGGGGGAUCGCAAGACCUCUCACUAUUGGAGCGGCCGAUAUCGGAUUAGCUAGUUGGUGGGGUAAAGGCUCACCAAGGCAACGAUCCGUAGCUGGUUUGAGAGGACGACCAGCCACACUGGGACUGAGACACGGCCCAGACUCCUACGGGAGGCAGCAGUGGGGAAUUUUGGACAGUGGGGGAAACCCUGAUCCAGCCAUCCCGCGUGUAUGAUGAAGGCCUUCGGGUUGUAAAGUACUUUUGGCAGAGAAGAAAAGGCAUCCCCUAAUACGGGAUGCUGCUGACGGUAUCUGCAGAAUAAGCACCGGCUAACUACGUGCCAGCAGCCGCGGUAAUACGUAGGGUGCAAGCGUUAAUCGGAAUUACUGGGCGUAAAGCGUGUGUAGGCGGUUCGGAAAGAAAGAUGUGAAAUCCCAGGGCUCAACCUUGGAACUGCAUUUUUAACUGCCGAGCUAGAGUAUGUCAGAGGGGGGUAGAAUUCCACGUGUAGCAGUGAAAUGCGUAGAUAUGUGGAGGAAUACCGAUGGCGAAAGCAGCCCCCUGGGAUAUACUGACCGCUCAGACACGAAAGCGUGGGGAGCAACAGGAAUUAAAUACCUGGUAACCCACCCCCUAAACAAUGUCAACUAACUGUUGGGGGCCCUUAGGGCCUUAAUUACCCCAGCUAACCCGUGGAAGUGAACUGCCUGGGG